Molecule: ribosomal RNA, 1338 nt
Filed under: Clostridioides difficile
Lineage: Bacteria; Bacillati; Bacillota; Clostridia; Peptostreptococcales; Peptostreptococcaceae
Description: bacterial LSU rRNA
Rfam family: Bacterial large subunit ribosomal RNA
Source: RNAcentral
UGGUCAAGUUAUUAAGGGUGCAGGGCGGAUGCCUUGGCACUAGGAGCCGAUGAAGGACGUGAUAAGCUGCGAUAAGCUUCGGGGAGUUGCACGUAAACUUUGAUCCGAAGAUUUCCGAAUGAGGAAACUCACUUAGAGUAAUGUCUAAGUAUCAUUAAGUGAAUACAUAGCUUAAUGAGGGGAACUCAGGGAACUGAAACAUCUAAGUACCUGAAGGAAGAGAAAGAAAUUCGAUUCCGUAAGUAGCGGCGAGCGAACGCGGAUUAGCCCAAACCAAUAAAGUUUUCUUUAUUGGGGUUGCGGACAUAUCAUAACGAAGAGGUAUCGUAAUUGAAGAGGUUUGGAAAGACCCACCACAGAAGGUAAUAGUCCUGUAUGUUAAACGAGAAGACUUUAGAUAUGAUCCAGAGUACCACGGGACACGUGAAACCCUGUGGGAAGCAGGAGGGACCACCCUCCAAGGCUAAAUACUACCUAGUGACCGAUAGCGUAUAGUACCGUGAGGGAAAGGUGAAAAGAACCCCGGGAGGGGAGUGAAAUAGAACCUGAAACCCUGCACUUACAAGCUGUGGAAGCACAUUUCUUGUGUGACCGCGUACUUUUUGUAGAACGGGCCAACGAGUUACGUUAAGUAGCAAGGUUAAGCACUUAAGGUGCGGAGCCGUAGCGAAAGCGAGUUUUAACUGAGCGUUCAGUUACUUGACGUAGACCCGAAACCGGGCGACCUACCCAUGAGCAGGAUGAAGCGAAAGUAAAAUUUCGUGGAGGUCCGAACCCACGAGCGUUGAAAAGCUCGGGGAUGACUUGUGGGUAGCGGUGAAAUUCCAAUCGAGCCCGGAGAUAGCUGGUUCUCCCCGAAAUAGCUUUAGGGCUAGCCUCAAGGUGAGAGAUACGGAGGUAGAGCACUGAAUGUCCUAGGGGGUAUUGCACCUACCGAAGACUAUCAAACUCCGAAUGCCGUCAUCUUAUACUUGGGAGUCAGACUGUGGGUGAUAAGAUUCAUAGUCGAAAGGGCAACAGCCCAGAUCGUCAGCUAAGGUCCCUAAAUGUAAGUUAAGUGGUAAAGGAUGUGGGAUUGCACAGACAACCAGGAUGUUGGCUUAGAAGCAGCCACUCAUUCAAAGAGUGCGUAAUAGCUCACUGGUCGAGUGAUCCUGCGCCGAAGAUUUCCGGGGCUAAAACUUACUACCGAAGCUACGGCAUCAGUAAUGAUGGGUAGGGGAGCUUCCCAUACGGGUUGAAGCAUGACCGUAAGGACAUGUGGACAGUAUGGGAGUGAGAAUGUUGGCAUGAGUAGCGAGAUGUGGGUGAGAAUCCCACAGGCCGUAAACCCAAGGU